RNAcentral lists this ribosomal RNA (69 nucleotides) under Cyanosporus caesius. RNAcentral's name for it is "Postia caesia partial 28S ribosomal RNA". The record is from RNAcentral. Lineage: Eukaryota; Fungi; Basidiomycota; Agaricomycetes; Polyporales; Postiaceae.
UUGACCUCUGACCUCAAAUCAGGUAGGAUUACCCGCUGAACUUAAGCAUAUCCAUAAGCGGGAAGAAAU